RNAcentral lists this ribosomal RNA (250 nucleotides) under uncultured archaeon. RNAcentral describes it as "partial 16S ribosomal RNA". It matches the Rfam family "Archaeal small subunit ribosomal RNA", at positions 474 to 725 of the family's 1478-position model. The record is from RNAcentral.
UACCGGCAGCUCAAGUGGUAGCCGCGAUUAUUGGGCCUAAAGCGUUCGUAGCCGGAUAAGUAAGUCUUUGGUUAAAUCCUGCGACUUAACCGUGGGAAAUCUAGAGAUACUGCUUGUCUUGAGACCGGGAGAGGUUGGAGGUACUCCCAGGGUAGGGGUGAAAUCCUGUAAUCCUGGGGGACCACCUGUGGCGAAGGCGUCCAACUGGAACGGGUCUGACGGUGAGGGACGAAACCUAGGGGAGCGAGCC